Molecule: ribosomal RNA, 30 nt
Filed under: Trametes hirsuta
Lineage: Eukaryota; Fungi; Basidiomycota; Agaricomycetes; Polyporales; Polyporaceae
Description: partial 18S ribosomal RNA
Source: RNAcentral
UCCGUAGGUGAACCUGCGGAAGAAUCAUUU